RNAcentral lists this ribosomal RNA (433 nucleotides) under uncultured bacterium. RNAcentral describes it as "partial 16S ribosomal RNA". It matches the Rfam family "Bacterial small subunit ribosomal RNA", at positions 29 to 507 of the family's 1533-position model. The record is from RNAcentral.
AACGAACGCUGGCGGCAUGCCUAACACAUGCAAGUCGAACGAGACCUUCGGGUCUAGUGGCGCACGGGUGCGUAACGCGUGGGAACCUGCCCUUAGGUUCGGAAUAACUCCCCGAAAGGGGUGCUAAUACCGGAUAAUGUCUUCGGACCAAAGAUUUAUCGCCUUUGGAUGGGCCCGCGUUGGAUUAGCUAGUUGGUAGGGUAAAAGCCUACCAAGGCGACGAUCCAUAGCUGGUUUGAGAGGAUGAUCAGCCACACUGGGACUGAGACACGGCCCAGACUCCUACGGGAAGCAGCAGUGGGGGAUAUUGGACAAUGGGCGAAAGCCUGAUCCAGCAAUGCCGCGUGAGUGAUGAAGGCCUUAGGGUUGUAAAGCUCUUUUACCCGGGAUGAUAAUGACAGUACCGGGAGAAUAAGCUCCGGCUAACUCCGUG